GAAUAUAAGCUUGCCUUUCAUCAGUUGCACGUGGUUGAUCGCAACUUCAGCAGAUUUUACCCAACUGAAGAAGAAUGGCUUAAGGUGCAGAAAUUUACAACACUGUUGAGGCCUUUUUAUGACCUGACCACCCUUUUUUCGGGGACUAAUUAUCCAACUGCAAAUUUGUAUUUUCAUGGUGUCUGGAAAAUUCAAAAAGUUAUCACGGAAGAGGUCAAUAAUUUAGACAUUGAAGUGAGUGAAAUGGCCAGGCAAAUGAAACGGAAAUUUGAGAAGUAUUGGGAAUGUUAUAGCUUGGUUUUGAGUUUUGCCAUCAUUUUGGAUCCGCGUUUUAAAAUGGAUUAUGUGGUGUAUGCUUUUAAGAAGCUAUAUCCUUUUGAUUAUGAAGAACGUGCUAAUGAAGUUCGGGAUAAAUUUUAUUUACUAUUUGAGGAGUACGAGAAUACUUUUGAUGGUGAUUUGCUAGAUGGAUCAAUAGCAGGCUGCUCUGGUGGUGAUUUGGGCAAUGACAAUGAUGAUUUUGCUGAAUUUGAGAGUCAACAACAUGCAAACAAGAGGAAUAAGUCACAAGUAGACUCUUAUUUGGAUGAUACUCGACUCCUUUCAACUCAAGAAUUGGAUGUUCUCAAUUUUUGGAAAGAAAACAAAAAUCGAUACCCUAUUCUUUCUUUGAUGGCACGGGAUAUUUUAAGUAUUCCUAUCACUACAGUGGCCUCGGAAUCAGCUUUCAGUAUUGGUGGUAGAAUUGUGGGUAAAUAUCGUACUUCGCUCCUACCAGAAAAUGUGGAGGUCUUGUUAUGUACUAGGGACUGGUUAUAUGGAGUAACAGGUAUGUUAUACUUAACCUUUUGAGUGCACAUGAUCUUGUAUUUUACUUUUUUGGUCACUUAUUGAAUUUACUUUUGAUUUCAGCUUCUGAAGAUGAUGAAGAUAAAGAAAGACUGAGUAUUGACUUUGCACCUUUAGUUGCUAAACUUACUAACCUUCAUAUUUAGGUAAGCUGUAUUCUCAUGAUCAUGGAGAUUGUUAGUAAUGUGGUGAAAAGAAUUUUAUCUUUCUGUCUAGAUGAAAUUUAAGUAGCAAAAAACAGAACUUUGAAUUUGGUUUUGGUUUUGGUUGCCAGGAAUCUUCUCUAUUUUGUGUUGAGCCAGCAGCAAACUUUUAGGUUGCUAUCUUUUUACUGUCAAGUGGAUAUUUGUAUUGUCACUGGCACUCCUUCAAGCUGCUUACUUCAUCCCGUCUUCUAAUCAGAAUUCUAGUCAUAUUGAGCUGCUGCGCAAAGGUUUGAAGAAUAAUACUGAGUUCAGUUUAUCAAGAGAACACAUGAGCAGGCAUGGUAUAGAAACUUAUGGCAAAUAUUUUGCUCUAAUAGUACCACCGUCUGCAUUUGGAUUUUGCAGAGACCAGGCCCUGAGAGUCAACUUCUCUCGUGCAU
This 1435-nucleotide long non-coding RNA is filed under the name Coffea arabica (coffee). Its description in RNAcentral is "long non-coding RNA (CARA_LNC005462)". Lineage: Eukaryota; Viridiplantae; Streptophyta; Magnoliopsida; Gentianales; Rubiaceae. The record is from RNAcentral.